AUGAAAAGGACUGCAUAUGAUCUUAGGAUCUGGGCUAGAUCGUUAUUCAAUGACGCCAAGAUUCAGUUCCACCUAGCUGCUGAAAUUGUGCUUCGACUAUACAUUGCUCAGGAGAAGUGGCACCUCACAGCGGCAGAAUUUCACCUUCGGAAGCAGCUCAAACGCAGGUUGAUCGGCCUGGCUGCGAUCGAGUGGGUGCGCAAGUGUCAGGCUUCGCGGCUCACAUGGCUCAAAGCUGGGAAUGCCAAGACUGCCUUUUUUCUGGCCAAGAUCAACUCUCGCAGAAGAAAAAACUUCAUUCACUCUCUGCACUUCGAAUUCGGAACAGCUUCCACUCAUGAUGACAAAGCUGCUGUUGCUCAUGAGUAUUUCGUCAGGUUGCUGGGCACCAAGCAGACCCAUGGCUGCUCCAUCAACUGGGAGGCGCUCGAGCUGCCCUCUGUUCAAAAUGCAGGCCUCGAUAACCCCUACUCCAUGGAUGAGGUCUGGGCUGCUGUAGCUGCCUCGCAGGACGACAAGGCUCCUGGGCCGGACGGCUUCUCUAGCGCCUUCUUUAGAGCCUGCUAG
This 567-nucleotide ribosomal RNA is filed under the name Triticum aestivum (bread wheat). RNAcentral's name for it is "partial small subunit ribosomal RNA". The record is from RNAcentral. Lineage: Eukaryota; Viridiplantae; Streptophyta; Magnoliopsida; Poales; Poaceae.